GCCCGAAGAAAUUUGGAUUAAUACCUAAUGGUAUAUAAGAGCGGCAUCGUUUUUAUAUUAAAGCUACGGUGGUGAAAGAUGAGUAUGCGUUCUAUUAGCUAGUUGGAGAGGUAACGGCUCCCCAAGGCGACGAUAGAUAGGGGUUCUGAGAGGGAUGUCCCCCACACUGGUACUGAGAUACGGACCAGACUCCUACGGGAGGCAGCAGUGAGGAAUAUUGGACAAUGGUCGGAAGACUGAUCCAGCCAUGCCGCGUGCAGGAUGAAGGUCCUAUGGAUUGUAAACUGCUUUUGUAAGGGAAGAAUAAGGAGUACGUGUACUUUGAUGACGGUACCUUACGAAUAAGCAUCGGCUAACUCCGUGCCAGCAGCCGCGGUAAUACGGAGGAUGCGAGCGUUAUCCGGAAUCAUUGGGUUUAAAGGGUCCGUAGGCGGGCUGAUAAGUCAGAGGUGAAAGCGCUUAGCUCAACUAAGCAACUGCCUUUGAAACUGUCAGUCUUGAAUGAUUGUGAAGUAGUUGGAAUGUGUAGUGUAGCGGUGAAAUGCUUAGAUAUUACACAGAACACCGAUAGCGAAGGCAUAUUACUAACAAUUUAUUGACGCUGAUGGACGAAAGCGUGGGGAGCGAACAGG
Molecule: ribosomal RNA, 632 nt
Filed under: uncultured Capnocytophaga sp.
Lineage: Bacteria; Pseudomonadati; Bacteroidota; Flavobacteriia; Flavobacteriales; Flavobacteriaceae
Description: bacterial SSU rRNA
Rfam family: Bacterial small subunit ribosomal RNA
Source: RNAcentral